UACACCAAGGAAACUGGCCCUGAGUU
This 26-nucleotide non-coding RNA is filed under the name Homo sapiens (human). Lineage: Eukaryota; Metazoa; Chordata; Mammalia; Primates; Hominidae. The record is from RNAcentral.